CCUACGGGGGGCAGCAGUGGGGAAUAUUGCCCAAUGGGGGAAACCCUGAGGCAGCAACGCCGCGUGGAGGAAGAAGGUCUUUACGAUCGUAAACUUCUUUUGUGAGGGAAGAGGAAGGACGGUACCUCAUGAAUAAGUCACGGCUAACUACGUGCCAGCAGCCGCGGUAAUACGUAGGUGACGAGCGUUAUCCGGAAUUACUGGGCGUAAAGCGUACGCAGGCGGCAUGGUAAGUCUGACGUGAAAUCUCCUGGCUUAACUGGGAGAGGUCGUUGGAGACUGCUGUGCUUGAGACAAUGAGAGGGGUGCAGAAUUCCCGGUGUAGUGGUGGAAUGCGUAGAUAUCGGGAGGAAUACCAGAGGCGAAAGCGGCACCCUGGCAUUGGUCUGACGCUCAUGUACGAAAGCGUGGGUAGCAAACGGGAUUAGAUACCCCGGUAGUC
This 442-nucleotide ribosomal RNA is filed under the name uncultured Caldilineaceae bacterium. Its description in RNAcentral is "bacterial SSU rRNA". It matches the Rfam family "Bacterial small subunit ribosomal RNA", at positions 338 to 795 of the family's 1533-position model. The record is from RNAcentral. Lineage: Bacteria; Bacillati; Chloroflexota; Caldilineae; Caldilineales; Caldilineaceae.